RNAcentral lists this ribosomal RNA (207 nucleotides) under uncultured bacterium. RNAcentral describes it as "partial 16S ribosomal RNA". It matches the Rfam family "Bacterial small subunit ribosomal RNA", at positions 568 to 774 of the family's 1533-position model. The record is from RNAcentral.
CACGUAGGUGGAUACUUAAGUCGGAUGUGAAAGCCCCGGGCUCAACCUGGGAACUGCACCCGAUACUGGGUAUCUAGAGUAUGAUAGAGGGAAGUGGAAUUUCCGGUGUAGCGGUGAAAUGCGUAGAUAUCGGAAAGAACACCAGUGGCGAAGGCGGCUUCCUGGAUCAAUACUGACACUGAGGUGCGAAAGCGUGGGGAGCAAACA